Molecule: long non-coding RNA, 1431 nt
Organism: Eurytemora carolleeae
Lineage: Eukaryota; Metazoa; Arthropoda; Copepoda; Calanoida; Temoridae
Exons: 4
Source: RefSeq, a predicted model, not a curated record
GGGGGGGAGAGGAAUUCUUGCAGUUAUGCAGCUGAUGUGCAUUGUACUCAGCUGUUGCCUUGCAUCUAACUUUGCUCAGGGAGACGACUACAGUGUUUAUGAAUAUGAAACCAGAUCAAGGGGUGGUAGUGUUAAAAGAGGAGCUGGGGGUUCAGAAACAACAUUCUAUGGUGUCGAACCAUCACAAGAAAUCCCGCUUGAUCUCUAACGAAGACGAUGCGCUGCCUAUGUACAACUUUAAACGCGGCAAAAGUGUUUAACUAUUUGUCACUUUUUUACGAGAAGAUUUGCUAUUUAAGGCCAGAAUAGAGUCGAUUUUAAAAACUAUUUUGCAAUGUUUAAAACUAUUUUCUGUAAACUAGAAUAUUUCAUUUUGCAUACUUUUUUUCCAUUCUUCACUAAAACCUAUGUUUUUUUAUAAGUUUUGCCAAUUAAAUUGGAGUCUUAAGAAUAUAAACUUUUUUAGUUGUAAAACAUUAGAUUCAUUCAAAAUUAACGCUUUCUUCAUGUUCCAGUGUUCUUAAUCGUUUUGGUUUUUGGUUUUUUAAAAACUUGAUAUAACUUCCCACACUUCAAAACUGCAUUUGUUUAAAGUUUUUUUUUGUGAAAUAUUUUUAUCCCACAAAAAAAGAUAAAUCGAACCAAAAAAACGAUCUUUAAACCCGUUUUAGAUAGUUUUUGGAAUAUUUGUUUUGCAUUUAUUUCUAUCAGGGUCACAAUAUAUUUGCAACAAAUGAACCAAAGCGAUUAACAACAUUGUUAGAUAAGUAUGCGGGGCUCCAUAGUUCUAUUUUACUUUUUUUAUCAUCGGCUACAUAUAGGGGAAUAAUAUUUUUUACCCCCACCCACCGUUACACUAAAUUAACUGAAUGUCUUAGUUCUAAGUUCCUAAAAACGACUUAAAAGUUUUAAAGUUUAACAAUUGUAGUUUUGAAUUAUAGGAAAAAUCAUAGAUUUUUUAACAAUUCAUGGGAAAUAAUUUUUAAGAUUUGUAACUUUUAUGAAUAUUUUAUUUCGAAAUAUUGUUAAAAAUUUUAUCAAAUUUCCUUCUUUCUUUCAAAAGCUAGAUUCAAUUUUGUUGCUUUGACUUUGUUAAGUAAAGAAUUCUUUUUCAAACUUCUUUUCAAUGUAUUUCAAGUUUUUAGAGAUUUCUUUGUUUGUUCUCAUAUUUAGAUAAAAAGAAUUAUUCGCAAAAUAAACUUUUAAGACACGAAUUAUCUUUACAUUAAGAUUAUGAUUGUGUAUAGCGUUAUUUAUUGUUUUAAAAAUUUAGUUUUUUAAUGUAAAAAUAAUUGUUUCACACUCUUCACAAUUUAAUUUUUAGUGUCUAAUUGUAUCUUAAAAUAAUGCGAGAAAAAAUAUUGUGAAUUAAUUUUAAUUUUGUAAAAACAUGUUUAAAAUAAACGUAUUGUGAAGACACAGAAAAAAUCA